Molecule: long non-coding RNA, 1954 nt
Organism: Homo sapiens (human)
Lineage: Eukaryota; Metazoa; Chordata; Mammalia; Primates; Hominidae
Source: Ensembl
AGGGACUGCCCGCGCGAAUGGCUUCGAACGCAUGCGCUCCACCCUACAUUUCACAGUCGCCAUGACGACCGGGAGGUCCGCUCGUCAACGGCUAGUCAACGGCUGCGGGGACAAGUCCGUUGAGGCUGCCAGGCGAGUCAGGCCUUUCUGGACCUCGCCUGACUCGGAUGGGCUGUGCCUGAAAUUGACCCAGCUCCACUAGGGAUUAUGAAGAAACAAGGAGUAAACCCAAAGCCGCUGCAAUCUUCCCGCCCCAGCCCGUCUAAGCGGCCGUACGGGGCCUCCCCCGCCCGGGAGCUGGAGGUGGAAAAGUCGGCCCUAGGCGGCGGGAAACUGCCAGGGGGCGCCAGGAGGUCCUCCCCGGGGAGGAUCCCAAAUCUGAAAAAGCGAAAAGGCUUGGAGCUAAAGGUGGUGGCCAAGACCCUUCUCGACCCCUUCCAGUUCGUCCGUAAUUCCCUGGCGCAGCUCCGGGAAGAGGUGCACGAACUGCAGGCGCGGUGGUUCCCCAGCAGAACCACUCUCAGCAUCGCCAUCUUUGUGGCAAUUCUACAUUGGUUACAUUUAGUAACACUUUUUGAAAAUGAUCGUCAUUUCUCUCACCUCUCAUCUUUGGAAUGGGAGAUGACUUUUCGCACUAAAAUGGGACUUUAUUAUUCCUACUUCAAGACCAUCAUUGAAGCACCUUCAUUUUUGGAAGGACUGUGGAUGAUUAUGAAUGACAGGCUUACUGAAUAUCCUCUUGUAAUUAAUACAGUAAAACGCUUCCAUCUUUAUCCAGAGGAUUGGGAGAUCCUGCUUGCUUUUAUGUUGGUGUAAUCUUUAUUUUAAAUGGACUAAUGAUGGGAUUGUUCUUCAUGUAUGGAGCAUACCUGAGUGGGACUCAACUGGGAGGUCUUAUUACAGUACUGUGCUUCUUUUUCAACCAUGGAGAGGCCACCCGUGUGAUGUGGACACCACCUCUCCAUGAAAGUUUUUCCUAUCCUUUCCUUGUACUUCAGAUGUAUAUUUUAACUUUGAUUCUCAGGACCUCAAGCAAUGAUAGAAGGCCCUUCAUUGCACUCUGUCUUUCCAAUGUUGCUUUUAUGCUUCCCUGGCAAUUUGCUCAGUUUAUACUUUUUACACAGAUAGCAUCAUUAUUUCCCAUGUAUGUUGUGGGAUACAUUGAACCAAGCAAAUUUCAGAAGAUCAUUUAUAUGAACAUGAUUUCAGUUACCCUUAGUUUCAUUUUGAUGUUUGGAAAUUCAAUGUACUUAUCUUCUUCUUAUUCUUCAUCUUUGUUAAUGACGUGGGCAAUAAUUCUAAAGAGAAAUGAAAUUCAAAAACUGGGAGUAUCUAAACUCAACUUUUGGCUAAUUCAAGGUAGUGCCUGGUGGUGUGGAACAAUCAUUUUGAAAUUUCUGACAUCUAAAAUCUUAGGCGUUUCAGACCACAUUCGCCUGAGUGAUCUUAUAGCAGCCAGAAUCUUAAGGUAUACAGAUUUUGAUACUUUAAUAUACACCUGUGCUCCCGAAUUUGACUUCAUGGAAAAAGCGGUAUGAAUGUUUCCUUUUUCCUUCUUUACUAAUAUGAGUUUUUGCUCUAGGUUUUUUUAAAAUCUGAAACUCAAAAUUUUUGCACAGAAACAGUCAACUUAUUUUAUUUUUUUUACUGUAACUUUUGCUAAUCUACCUUCCUCACUUGUUUUUUUGUCUGUUAAAAAAAAAAAUAGCCUCUAUCUUAUAGAGUUAUUGAUGAUGGUUAAAUGAGAUAAUCGGAGAAGAGUGUUUAACAUACUAUAUGACCCAUAAUAAUUACUAUUAUUACAAAUCAAUUACUUUUAAUAAUCUAGGCCACUUGGAAAUAUGGGACCAUUCAGGAAAAAGUCUAAAUUCUUGUUUCUGUUUUUAAGAAAUUCAGUUUUAUUACAGUUAACACCCCAAAUAUUAUAACAUUUUUAACAAGAUGUUAUCAAGAA